RNAcentral lists this ribosomal RNA (485 nucleotides) under uncultured bacterium. RNAcentral's name for it is "bacterial SSU rRNA". It matches the Rfam family "Bacterial small subunit ribosomal RNA", at positions 8 to 526 of the family's 1533-position model. The record is from RNAcentral.
AGAGUUUGAUCCUGGCUCAGGAUAAACGCUGGCGGCGUGCCUAAUACAUGCAAGUCGUGCGGCAGCAUGCCCUUCGGGGUGAUGGCGAGCGGCGGACGGCUUAGUAACGCGUAGGAAUCUACCCCAAAGUGAGGGAUAAGCCCAAGAAAUUGGGUCUAAUACCGCAUGUGAUCUUCGGAUUAAAGCUAUAUGCGCUUUGGGAAGAGCCUGCGUACGAUUAGAUUGUUGGUGAGGUAAUGGCUCACCAAGUCAACGAUCGUUAGCUGGUCUGAGAGGAUGAUCAGCAAGACUGGAACUGAGACACGGUCCAGACUCCUACGGGAGGCAGCAGUAAGGAAUCUUCCACAAUGGGCGAAAGCCUGAUGGAGCAACGCCGCGUGCAGGAUGAAGGCCUUCGGGUCGUAAACUGCUUUUGUUAGCGAGGAAUAUGACGGUAACUAACGAAUAAGGGUCGGCUAACUACGUGCCAGCAGCCGCGGUAAUAC